GGCGGCUAGGUUUUGGGCAUGAAAGCUUCGGCGAACUGGGAAAGAAAGAAAAAAGAAGAAGAGCGCGAGGGAUAAAAAGGAAAAGCAGAGGGAAAAGAGGAACCAGGCGGCGGGCUGAGCAAAAAAUGGAGGAAACAAGCAACGAAAAAAACACACAAAAGGGAAAUGGGGGUUUCAGCUUCAAUCAUCCGAUAAAAAUUUUUCCAAUCACCACUGCCAAAUUUCCCACCACCUCAACCGGCUGCCGGCUGCCACCACUCUCUUUCCACCCUCCGUCCUCAAAUUCCCCCCAAUUUCCCCAAACGAAUCCUCCACAAAAACCCCUCAUUUCCCAUUCUGCUCCUCCCCACUUCUAAUACAAGCCUUUUCUGCCAACGCCUCCACCACAGCCCUUCCCCUUUACCGCCGUCUCUAUCCGCGCCAAGCCCAAAAAAAAACUCAUCCUCAGCAACCUUUCUGUUCUCGGUGAAAAGGGCAAGAACAGCUACGACGUCGAGACUCUCAUCAAAUUCUUCUCCACCUGCUCCUCUUCCGUGGAUGGCUUGAGCAGCAACAGCAGCGGAGAUUUCCAACUCACCGAGCCGUCACCACCCAUCGGAUAUCCAUUGCCGCCUGCGAAUUUCACCAAGAAAGCCUUCUGGCAAUGAUUUUAGGCACUGGAGAAAGAAAAUAGUGAAGAUGGAAAUAAUUCUGAUUCUAGCAGUUAUUCUAAUGAUAAUGAGGACGAAAGGCCGGAGAGCAAAUCUAUCACCACCUCUUGGCCUCAAAGUUACAGGCAGUCCAUCGAUUUAUACAGUAGUGUACCAUCUCCAAGUCUUAACUUCCUGGGGACGCCUACGUUAUCAUGUUUAGGCAGCUCAUGUAUCUCUUAUUCAUUAACAAGAAGAUACACUCCUGAAGUACUCCCUUCUUCGCAAAACCUCUAUUACCACCAGUAGCAGAUGCACGUCGGCCACCAGAAAGGCGUAGUUCACAUUCUCUGCUGCCCUCCAUUCAAGGGAGGCCUUCCUUAAGAAAAGCAACUGCUGACAAGAAAUCAUCCAAGGUCUCACAUGAGGUUUCUCUUCCUAGCCAGAGUUCAUAUGGACAAGCUGUGGUGAAUGGCAUAAAUGUUCUUUGUGGUGUUGGAAUUCUUUCAACUACUUGUGCUGUCAAAGAAGGUGGAUG
Molecule: long non-coding RNA, 1167 nt
Organism: Coffea eugenioides
Lineage: Eukaryota; Viridiplantae; Streptophyta; Magnoliopsida; Gentianales; Rubiaceae
Exons: 4
Source: RefSeq, a predicted model, not a curated record